This 395-nucleotide ribosomal RNA is filed under the name uncultured bacterium. Its description in RNAcentral is "bacterial SSU rRNA". It matches the Rfam family "Bacterial small subunit ribosomal RNA", at positions 29 to 415 of the family's 1533-position model. The record is from RNAcentral.
AACGAACGCUGGCGGCGCGCCUAAUACAUGCAAGUCGAGCGAGAAGACGUAGCAAUACGUUUGUAAAGCGGCGAACGGGUGAGGAAUACAUGGGUAACCUACCCUCGAGUGGGGAAUAACUAGCCGAAAGGUUAGCUAAUACCGCGUACGCUCCUUGGACUUCGGUUCAGGGAGGAAAGCGAUACCGUGGGUAUCGCGCUCUUGGAUGGGCUCAUGUCCUAUCAGCUUGUUGGUGAGGUAACGGCUCACCAAGGCUUCGACGGGUAGCUGGUCUGAGAGGACGAUCAGCCACACUGGCACUGCGACACGGGCCAGACUCCUACGGAGGCAGCAGUAAGGAAUAUUGCGCAAUGGGCGAAAGCCUGACGCAGCGACGCCGCGUGGGGGAUGAAGGU